UUUUUAACUUGGUGCAUGCUAAUCUAAGAAUUAUUGUUUUCCCCCUAUUCAUUAACUCGAUUGCUAUUUGAAGUAGGUCUACAGCCACCAUAACACUAUUGGAAAUAAAACUAUGUAUGACACAAUGUUUGAACUAAUGUAUUGGAAAUUAAACUAUGUAUGACACGAUGUUUGAACUAAUGUGUUGAUAGCAUAAGUGCACGAGUAAGAAAACAAUG
RNAcentral lists this unclassified non-coding RNA (218 nucleotides) under Hevea brasiliensis (rubber tree). Lineage: Eukaryota; Viridiplantae; Streptophyta; Magnoliopsida; Malpighiales; Euphorbiaceae. The record is from RNAcentral.